GGCAUUCUGGUGACAAAAUUCCUUAGGGGCAGGGCAGGGAGGACAGGGAAGGUGUGGGGAGCAUUCUGCCCUUUCAAAAUGCCUUCCCUUUGCAGACCAGCUGCUCCCCGAGAAAUGAGAACCUCACCCUGGGCAUGCUUCUUCUGAGACCAUUAGAAUUCUUCCCCUCUGUUCGAAUCCCUUGCUCCAGCGGAAACCCACUGGCAGAACCUUGGCAAUGAGCCUGAGCAAUGGAGUCGGGGGCCUCUGGAGACACCCUGCAGCCUCCUGCUCCUACAAUCAUUCUGGACUAGGUGUUUGAAGGAAACACAACCAAUUUGCAAGAGGAAAAAAAUGCGUGUGCUUCUCCUGAAUCUCCUCACACCAUCCCACAAAGUAGCUACAUGGAAAUAAUGCAGAGAAAGGGCUUCGAAAACCACGCGUUCGCGCAAAGGAUUUGGGGGGCGGCCCGGAGGACACGCACCGCAGCGGCCAGCCUCACGCCACGCGACGCGCACGCCUUUCCCCGCGCAGGCCGCGGCAUAGCUGGCCAGGGCGCCGCACAGGCACUCGCGACCGUCCGAGCAGGAGCACACGU
This is a long non-coding RNA of Rhinopithecus roxellana (golden snub-nosed monkey), 577 nucleotides long. RefSeq lists it as uncharacterized. The transcript has 3 exons. The record is from RefSeq and is a predicted model, not a curated record. Lineage: Eukaryota; Metazoa; Chordata; Mammalia; Primates; Cercopithecidae.